AGCGAACGUUUGCGGCGGGCCUAACACAUGCAAGUCGAACGGGCAGGGGCAACCCCUGUCAGUGGCGCACGGGUGCGUAACACGUGGGUAAUCAACCCUUUGGACUGGGACAACCCGGGGAAACUCGGGCUAAUACCGGAUGUGGCAUGUCGGUCUUCGGGCUGACAUGCGAAAGCCUCGCAAGGGGCACCAGAGGACGAGCCCGCGGCCCAUCAGCUAGUUGGUGAGGUAAUGGCUCACCAAGGCGAAGACGGGUAGCUGGUCUGAGAGGAUGAUCAG
This 279-nucleotide ribosomal RNA is filed under the name uncultured bacterium. RNAcentral describes it as "partial 16S ribosomal RNA". It matches the Rfam family "Bacterial small subunit ribosomal RNA", at positions 29 to 307 of the family's 1533-position model. The record is from RNAcentral.